GAUGAACGCUGGCGGCGUGCUUAACACAUGCAAGUCGAACGAAACACCUUAUUUGAUUUUCUUCGGAACUGAAGAUUUGGUGAUUGAGUGGCGGACGGGUGAGUAACGCGUGGGUAACCUACCCUGUACAGGGGGAUAACAGUCAGAAAUGACUGCUAAUACCGCAUAAGACCACAGCACCGCAUGGUGCAGGGGUAAAAACUCCGGUGGUACAGGAUGGACCCGCGUCUGAUUAGCUGGUUGGUGAGGUAACGGCUCACCAAGGCGACGAUCAGUAGCCGGCUUGAGAGAGUGAACGGCCACAUUGGGACUGAGACACGGCCCAAACUCCUACGGGAGGCAGCAGUGGGGAAUAUUGCACAAUGGGGGAAACCCUGAUGCAGCGACGCCGCGUGAGUGAAGAAGUAUCUCGGUAUGUAAAGCUCUAUCAGCAGGGAAGAAAAUGACGGUACCUGACU
Molecule: ribosomal RNA, 458 nt
Filed under: uncultured bacterium
Lineage: Bacteria
Description: bacterial SSU rRNA
Rfam family: Bacterial small subunit ribosomal RNA
Source: RNAcentral